Molecule: long non-coding RNA, 726 nt
Filed under: Cairina moschata (Muscovy duck)
Lineage: Eukaryota; Metazoa; Chordata; Aves; Anseriformes; Anatidae
Description: domestica (muscovy Duck (domestic type)) lncRNA (ENSCMMG00000000276.1)
Source: RNAcentral
CCCAUCCAGAGGCUGAAUGGCCAGGCACAGAUCUGUUACCAUACCUAGACAACUCAUCUGAUACAACACUACAGAAUUAAAAUCAAAGGCUUACAUUGAUUUUCUAGAAAGAGAAAAGCUAGGUAAAGAUGCAUUUUCCCCCCACACCAAGGAGAAGCACAGUCACUUCUUUGCCAUGGAUUCUAUUAUCUUCUUGCCUGAAGAGCUUAGAUCUAUUCAACUGUGAAAUAACUUGUCCCCAUAUUAUGCAACCUUGAUAAUUCUCUGUUUGGCAUUACUCACAGAUGCUCAGGAUGGGAGCAUCUACAAAGGAAGGAGGUGUGAUCCCACCAGAACUCCUCCAUCACCUUAGAGAAAGCCAGGAAAGCAGAUGAGUUGAGAUUGCUGCUAGAGGAUAUGGUUUCUAUUAGUGUUUUCCUCAGCGGAGAAUGUAUAAAUAACUCACUCAUGGACUGGUACAAUCUGUCGGGGGGGCAGCAGUUAUAUAAAUACGUUCCUCCUGUUUCUCUCUCACCAAAAAUAACCCAUUUCUACUACAGCUGCAUACAAAAAAAUAGGACCUGGAUAAAUAAAGGACAGCAAUGUGAGAGCAUGCUGAACGGCUGCGUCCCUGCACCCAGAGACUCCAGCAAUAACGAUGACCUCUUCAGGACCAUAGAGAUACUGCUUAGCAUCUUAGAUAUAGAAGCCUGCAUUGGAGAGAGUCUGCAGUGCUUUCCCUGGUAG